RNAcentral lists this long non-coding RNA (2177 nucleotides) under Gossypium barbadense (sea-island cotton). RNAcentral's name for it is "long non-coding RNA (GBAR_LNC007677)". Lineage: Eukaryota; Viridiplantae; Streptophyta; Magnoliopsida; Malvales; Malvaceae. The record is from RNAcentral.
AACAAAAGAAAAAAAAAAGAGAAGAAGGGAAGAAACAGAAUAGUAGAAACGAGACAGAGAGAGAGGGAAGGAAGGAAAGAAAGAAAAGAAAGAAAAAAAGGGAAAAUAUAAGGUUUGAAGCUUGAAGUUUAAUUUGGUAAGUCAAUUAAGUCAUUUCCUCUUAAAUUUGAUGUUUUAGAAGCUUUAAAACAAGGUUUUAUUGAAAUUAAGUUGAUAUUUUGAGAGUUUAUAGUUUUUCAAGUAUAGUUCAUGUUGAAUAAAAUAGUGAAUUAAGGGUUUAAUUGAGUGAAUUUCAAGUUAGAAUUGAUAAUAAGAUCAAAUUGUAAAGUAAGUUAUAAGUUUUAUGUUGUAGGAACUAAAUUGAUGAAAUUUUGAAAUUAGGAAAAUAUGCUGGAAAUUUAAUAUUUAAAUGAGAGUAUGGAUGAAAUUUGAAUAGAAAUAGAAUGUGAAUUGAAUUAGAAACGUAAGUGAAAAUUAGUUAAGAUUAAAUUGAAAUUAAAGUAGAAAAUUGAAUAGAAAAUUCAAUUAAUUAGAUAUAAAUUAGUAGUGAAUUAAUGAAUAUAAAUUGUUUUAAUUUCCGUAGCUAACGUUGUCUCGAGAAGUUUCGGCUAAGUAAGGAAAUAGCAAAGUCGAUGAGUAAAAGCUUGGAAAAGCUCGAAAAAUACGGUUUGUAUUUCUAUAAUCUGAACUCAGUCAUUAUUUAUUAUAUUUAUAUACAUAUGACAAUUGUUAGUGUUAGAAUUAUGAUGUUUUACAAUUGAAAUGGAUUGAUUUUGGUAUGUGAUGAAUUUAUCAAAUUUAUAUUGAUUGAAAUCAUUUUGAUUGAAUUUAUAUUGAUUGAAAUUAUAAUAUAUAUAUGAUCUAUGUAAAAAUUUGAAUAUUGAAUGAAUGUUAUAUUGAAAAAUUAUAUUGAUUGGAAAUAUGAGGGAAUUGAUAUGAAUAUAUGAGAUUUGUGAUAAUUGAAUAUUUGAUAUUGAAAAGUGAAUUGAGUUGUAUUGGAUUAUGAAUUAAUGUGAAUAAUUGAAAUAUAUUUGUUGAAUUGAAUGAAAAUGUAUGAAAUUGUGAAAAUGUGUGAAUAUAUGUGAUUAUUAGAAUGGUAUAUUGAUGAAAGAUUCUUUAAAUUGAGAAAGUGAAUCAAAUACCCUAUUAACAGUAUUGGACCAGAUUGGAUACAAAUGGCAUGCCAUUGGGUUUGUGAUGUGAUGAGGAGAUUUGUAGUUCGGCCGAGAAGAUGUUUCUGUUAUUAUAUACUUCGGUUUAUCCGAAGAGGCAUUUAAUGCCUUAUUGGUAUGUUUGGGAGGAUAUGAUAUACUGGUGUGUUAUGGAGGAUUUAUAAUAUUCCGGGUGUGUUUGGGUUGGAUAUUCUGGUGUGUUUGGGAGGAAUCCGCGUAUCUAUCAGAGUCCGAAUCUUGUUAAUAGGGGUAAAUAAGUGAAAAGAUAAAUCGAGUGAAUUUGAUUGAUUGAGCUAUUAGAAUGAAAUGAGAAAUUGAAUUGAGAAUUGAAAUUGAGAUAUGAAAUUGAAAACAUGAACCAAAAGGUUCAUGAAAUGAGUGAAGUUCAAAUGGAUGAUGAUUGAUGUUAGAAUGAAUUAAAAUGGUAUAUUGUUAAGAAGUAAAGUGUGAAUACAAGUGAAUUGUGAAUAUAUUGUAUAGAAUUUAUACGGUAAGUAAAUGAAAUUCAUCUAUAAAAUAAAUAAAUGAAUACUUAUAAUUGUUAUUGUGAUUUUAAGUUUAAUUGUUAUGUUAUUAAGUGUUCGGAUUAUGGAAAUACCACUGAGCAUACCAUACUCAGCGUACGGUUUGUUUCCGUGCACAGGUUAAGUAAAGAUAGAACGUUGAAUCAGCAUCCCAGGCCGAUCCCAAAUUCAAUGAGGUAAAGUGUGUUAAUUAUGGGUAAUGGCAUGUACCUAGGAUGCCUUAUGUGUGUGUCAUUUUGAAAUUGUAAAUGUAAGGAUGAAAUAAAUCAAUUUAAGGUUUGGUUAUGGUAUAAAAUAGGAUUUGAAUAAUUUAGUAUGAAUUUGAAUUUUUAUGAGACAAUGUCAGAUUGAUUUUGGAAUUCCCUAUUCUGUAUUGGGAAAAUCAUUAAAAAUUGUAUAAAACUAAUUAUGGGCUAUAAUUUAUAUUCUUAGAAUCCUUAAUGAGUCUAUUUUCAAGAUAAAUAAACGGGAACAUCACCCG